AGCGAACGCUUUCUUCCUUCCUAACACAUGCAAGUCGAACGAACCUUUCGUGGUUAGUGGCGGACGGGUGAGUAACACGUGGGAACGUGCCUUUAGGUUCGGAAUAACUCAUGGAAACUUGUGCUAAUACCGAAUGUGCCCUUCGGGGGAAAGAUUUAUCGCCUUUAGAGCGGCCCGCGUCGGUUGAGCUAGGUGGUUGAGGUAAUGGCUCACCAAGGCGACGAUGAGUAGCUGGUCUGAGAGGAUGAGCAGCCACAUUGGGACUGAGACACGGCCCAAACUCCUACGGGAGGCAGCAGUGGGGAAUCUUGCGCAAUGGGCGAAAGCCUGACGCAGCCAGGCCGGGUGAAUGAUGAAGGUCUUAGGAUUGUAAAAUUCUUUCACCGGGGACGAUAAUGACGGUACCCGGAGAAGAAGCAACGGCUAACUUCGUG
RNAcentral lists this ribosomal RNA (434 nucleotides) under uncultured bacterium. RNAcentral's name for it is "partial 16S ribosomal RNA". It matches the Rfam family "Bacterial small subunit ribosomal RNA", at positions 29 to 507 of the family's 1533-position model. The record is from RNAcentral.